UUAGUGGCGGACGGGUGAGUAACGCGUGAAUAACCUGCCCUGUACCGGGGGACAACAGUUGGAAACGGCUGCUAAUACCGCAUAAGCGCACGGUUCCGCAUGGAACAGUGUGAAAAACUCCGGUGGUACAGGAUGGAUUCGCGUCUGAUUAGCCAGUUGGUGGGGUAACGGCCUACCAAAGCAACGAUCAGUAGCCGGCCUGAGAGGGUGAACGGCCACAUUGGGACUGAGACACGGCCCAAACUCCUACGGGAGGCAGCAGUGGGGAAUAUUGCACAAUGGGGGAAACCCUGAUGCAGCGACGCCGCGUGAGUGAAGAAGUUAUUCGUAACGUAAAGCUCUAUCAGCAGGGAAGAAAAUGACGGUACCUGACUAAGAAGCCCCGGCUAACUACGUGCCAGCAGCCGCGGUAAUACGUAGGGGGCAAGCGUUAUCCGGAUUUACUGGGUGUAAAGGGAGCGUAGACGGCACAGCAAGUCUGAUGUGAAAGCCCGGGGCCCAACCCCGGAACUGCAUUGGAAACUGCUGGGCUUGAGUGCAGGAGAGGUAAGCGAAAUUUCUAGUGUAGCGGUGAAAUGCGUA
This 582-nucleotide ribosomal RNA is filed under the name uncultured Lachnospiraceae bacterium. Its description in RNAcentral is "bacterial SSU rRNA". It matches the Rfam family "Bacterial small subunit ribosomal RNA", at positions 92 to 692 of the family's 1533-position model. Lineage: Bacteria; Bacillati; Bacillota; Clostridia; Lachnospirales; Lachnospiraceae. The record is from RNAcentral.